Molecule: ribosomal RNA, 657 nt
Filed under: uncultured bacterium
Lineage: Bacteria
Description: bacterial SSU rRNA
Rfam family: Bacterial small subunit ribosomal RNA
Source: RNAcentral
UCUGUCACNGACGCUGAGGCUCGAAAGCGUGGGUAGCGAACAGGAUUAGAUACCCUGGUAGUNCACGCCGUAAACGAUGAGUGCUAGGUGUUAGGCCCUUUCCGGGGCUUAGUGCCGGAGCUAACGCAAUAAGCANUCCGCCUGGGGAGUACGACCGCAAGGUUGAAACUCAAAGGAANUUGANGGGGGCCCGCACAAGCGGUGGAGCAUGUGGUUUAAUUCGAAGCAACGCGAAGAACCUUACCAGGUCUUGACAUCCCGAUGCUAUUCUUAGAGAUAGGAAGUUACUUCGGUACAUCGGAGACAGGUGGUGCAUGGUUGUCGUCAGCUCGUGUCGUGAGAUGUUGGGUUAAGUCCCGCAACGAGCGCAACCCUUAUUGUUAGUUGCCAUCAUUAAGUUGGGCACUCUAGCGAGACUGCCGGUAAUAAACCGGAGGAAGGUGGGGAUGACGUCAAAUCAUCAUGCCCCUUAUGACCUGGGCUACACACGUGCUACAAUGGUCGGUACAACGAGUUGCGAGCCGGUGACGGCAAGCUAAUCUCUGAAAGCCGAUCUCAGUUCGGAUUGGAGGCUGCAACUCGCCUCCAUGAAGUCGGAAUCGCUAGUAAUCGCGGAUCAGCACGCCGCGGUGAAUACGUUCCCGGGCCUUGUACACA